UGGGGAAUUUUGGACAAUGGGCGAAAGCCUGAUCCAGCAAUGCCGCGUGUGUGAAGAAGGCCUUCGGGUUGUAAAGCACUUUUGUCCGGAAAGAAAUUCUUGGCUCUAAUACAGUCGGGGGAUGACGGUACCGGAAGAAUAAGCACCGGCUAACUACGUGCCAGCAGCCGCGGUAAUACGUAGGGUGCAAGCGUUAAUCGGAAUUACUGGGCGUAAAGCGUGCGCAGGCGGUUUGCUAAGACCGAUGUGAAAUCCCCGGGCUCAAACCUGGGAACUGCAUUGGUGACUGGCAGGCUAGAGUAUGGCAGAGGGGGGUAGAAUUCCACGUGUAGCAGUGAAAUGCGUAGAGAUGUGGAGGAAUACCGAUGGCGAAGGCAGCCCCCUGGGCCAAUACUGACGCUCAUGCACGAAAAGCGUGGGGAGCAAACAGGAUUAGAUACCCUGGUAGUCCACGCCCUAAACGAUGUCAACUAGUUGUUGGGGAUUCAUUUCCUUAGUAACGUAGCUAACGCGUGAAGUUGACCGCCUGGGGAGUACGGUCGCAAGAUUAAAACUCAAAUGAAUUGACGGGGUCAUAGCUGUUUCCU
RNAcentral lists this ribosomal RNA (587 nucleotides) under uncultured bacterium. RNAcentral's name for it is "partial 16S ribosomal RNA". It matches the Rfam family "Bacterial small subunit ribosomal RNA", at positions 355 to 1375 of the family's 1533-position model. The record is from RNAcentral.